ACUGUCAUACACCACAUCCACUACUCUACUACUACAGACUUUUUGGUGCUCUUCCCCCUGUGGAGUCCAAAUCCUUUGACACGUGUCGUUUUCUCAAGAGAUUCACUGUCCCACUCUCUGCGUGAUUCCCCCCCACAUCUGACGGCUGCAGUUCGCCGCCGGUCUACUCAUCCGUCAAACGCCGGUUACUGCUCAGACUUUGGUUUGAUCAAAAUAAAUAAAAAAAGAUCAACGGCUGGAAGAGGAAGUAGAGGUUGAAUCUGGACCCUUAGAUUUAUAUAUACUAAAAAAAGGUAUUUGGGUCUUCAUGUCAGUAGAGGCGUUUCUCUUGCUUGUUUAACACAACACUCCCCCACUCUUCACAUUUCUUCUAUUUUCUUCUAAUUUCUACAUCUCAUCACAUGUAGCACACAAAGUCACAAACACUUGUACUGGAAAUGAUUGAAAGAGAAAUAUGUCUUAUAUUUGCGGAUAUAUAAAUGUGCUUUCACUUC
Non-coding RNA from Arabidopsis thaliana (thale cress), 494 nucleotides. The record is from RefSeq. Lineage: Eukaryota; Viridiplantae; Streptophyta; Magnoliopsida; Brassicales; Brassicaceae.